AAUAGAUACCCAGGUAGUCCACGCCGUAAACGAUGAGUGCUAAGUGUUGGGGGGUUUCCGCCCCUCAGUGCUGCAGCUAACGCAUUAAGCACUCCGCCUGGGGAGUACGGUCGCAAGACUGAAACUCAAAGGAAUUGACGGGGGCCCGCACAAGCGGUGGAGCAUGUGGUUUAAUUCGAAGCAACGCGAAGAACCUUACCAGGUCUUGACAUCCCGGUGACCACUAUGGAGACAUAGUUUCCCCUUCGGGGGCAACGGUGACAGGUGGUGCAUGGUUGUCGUCAGCUCGUGUCGUGAGAUGUUGGGUUAAGUCCCGCAACGAGCGCAACCCUUAUUCUUAGUUGCCAUCAUUUAGUUGGGCACUCUAAGGAGACUGCCGGUGAUAAACCGGAGGAAGGUGGGGAUGACGUCAAAUCAUCAUGCCCCUUAUGACCUGGGCUACACACGUGCUACAAUGGACGGUACAAACGGUUGCCAACCCGCGAGGGGAGCUAAUCCGAUAAACCGUUCUCAGUUCGGAUUGUAGGCUGCAACUCGCCUACA
This 543-nucleotide ribosomal RNA is filed under the name uncultured bacterium. Its description in RNAcentral is "bacterial SSU rRNA". It matches the Rfam family "Bacterial small subunit ribosomal RNA", at positions 777 to 1320 of the family's 1533-position model. The record is from RNAcentral.